AAGGUCUCUCUGUCUUCUGUAUGUACCCUGUAGAUCCGAAUUUGUGUAAAAGAAGCUGUCUCACAAAUUCGCAUCUAGGGGAAUAUGUAGUUGACACAAACCCUACGGAGCG
This is a microRNA precursor of Laticauda laticaudata (blue-ringed sea krait), 112 nucleotides long. The record is from Ensembl. NCBI's taxonomy places the organism in Eukaryota, Metazoa, Chordata, Lepidosauria, Squamata, Elapidae.